Trichobilharzia regenti is the source of this 46-nucleotide non-coding RNA. The record is from Rfam. NCBI's taxonomy places the organism in Eukaryota, Metazoa, Platyhelminthes, Trematoda, Strigeidida, Schistosomatidae.
AACCUGAUGAAGAGUGCUAAACCAGGACGAAACAGCUGUCCAGGUU